CCUACGGGUGGCAGCAGUGGGGAAUAUUGGACAAUGGGCGAAAGCCUGAUCCAGCCAUGCCGCGUGUGUGAAGAAGGCCUUCGGGUUGUAAAGCACUUUCAGUGGGGAAGAAAGCCUUGGGGCUAAUACCCUCGAGGAAGGACAUCACCCACAGAAGAAGCACCGGCUAACUCCGUGCCAGCAGCCGCGGUAAUACGGAGGGUGCGAGCGUUAAUCGGAAUUACUGGGCGUAAAGCGCGCGUAGGCGGUCUGAUAAGCCGGUUGUGAAAGCCCCGGGCUCAACCUGGGAACGGCAUCCGGAACUGUCAGGCUAGAGUGCAGGAGAGGAAGGUAGAAUUCCCGGUGUAGCGGUGAAAUGCGUAGAGAUCGGGAGGAAUUCCAGUGGCGAAGGCGGCCUUCUGGACUGACACUGACGCUGAGGUGCGAAAGCGUGGGUAGCAAACAGGAUUAGAUACCCUGGUAGUC
RNAcentral lists this ribosomal RNA (465 nucleotides) under Vreelandella stevensii. RNAcentral describes it as "partial 16S ribosomal RNA". It matches the Rfam family "Bacterial small subunit ribosomal RNA", at positions 338 to 795 of the family's 1533-position model. The record is from RNAcentral. Lineage: Bacteria; Pseudomonadati; Pseudomonadota; Gammaproteobacteria; Oceanospirillales; Halomonadaceae.